RNAcentral lists this ribosomal RNA (468 nucleotides) under uncultured bacterium. Its description in RNAcentral is "partial 16S ribosomal RNA". It matches the Rfam family "Bacterial small subunit ribosomal RNA", at positions 28 to 507 of the family's 1533-position model. The record is from RNAcentral.
GACGAACGCUGGCGGCGUGCUUAACACAUGCAAGUCGAACGGACAGGCCCUGCUUUUGUGGGUUGCUCGAGUGGCGAACAGGUGAGUAACACGUGAGUAACCUGCCCUUGACUUUGGGAUAACUCCAGGAAACUGGGGCUCAUACCCCAUAUGAGCUCCUGCUGCGUGUGGGGGGUUGGAAAGAUUCGGCGGUUGGGGCUGGACUCGCGGCUUAUCAGCUUGUUGGUGGAGUAGUGGCUUACGAAGGCUUUGACGGGUAGCCGGCCUGAGAGGGUGACCGGCGUCAUUGGGACUGAGAGACGGACCAGACGCCUACGGGCGGCAGCAGUGGGGAACAUGGCGCAAUGGGCGGAAGCCUGAUGCAGCAACCCCGCGUGCGGGAUAACGGCCUUCGGGUUGUAAACCGCUUUCGCCGGUGACGAAGAGUGAGUGACGGUAAUGGGUAAAGAAGCACCGGCUAACUACGUG